This 77-nucleotide transfer RNA is filed under the name Candidatus Regiella insecticola LSR1. RNAcentral describes it as "tRNA-Val". It matches the Rfam family "tRNA". From Rfam's summary of the family: Transfer RNA (tRNA) molecules are approximately 80 nucleotides in length. Their secondary structure includes four short double-helical elements and three loops (D, anti-codon, and T loops). Further hydrogen bonds mediate the characteristic L-shaped molecular structure. tRNAs have two regions of fundamental functional importance: the anti-codon, which is responsible for specific mRNA codon recognition, and the 3' end, to which the tRNAs corresponding amino acid is attached (by aminoacyl-tRNA synthetases). tRNAs cope with the degeneracy of the genetic code in two manners: having more than one tRNA (with a specific anti-codon) for a particular amino acid; and 'wobble' base-pairing, i.e. permitting non-standard base-pairing at the 3rd anti-codon position. Lineage: Bacteria; Pseudomonadati; Pseudomonadota; Gammaproteobacteria; Enterobacterales; Enterobacteriaceae. The record is from RNAcentral.
CGUCCGUAGCUCAGUUGGUUAGAGCACCACCUUGACAUGGUGGGGGUCGGUGGUUCGAGUCCACUCGGACGCACCAU